RNAcentral lists this transfer RNA (69 nucleotides) under Ictidomys tridecemlineatus (thirteen-lined ground squirrel). RNAcentral's name for it is "Spermophilus tridecemlineatus (thirteen-lined ground squirrel) tRNA". It matches the Rfam family "tRNA". Rfam says of the family: Transfer RNA (tRNA) molecules are approximately 80 nucleotides in length. Their secondary structure includes four short double-helical elements and three loops (D, anti-codon, and T loops). Lineage: Eukaryota; Metazoa; Chordata; Mammalia; Rodentia; Sciuridae. The record is from Rfam by way of RNAcentral.
GGAGCUAUAGCUCAGUGGCAGAGCACUUGCCUAGCAUGCAUAAGACACUGGGUUCAAUUCUUAGCACCA